UUCCCUGUAGCUCAGUUGGUAGAGCAUGGUGUUUGCAACGCCAGGGUUGUGGGUUCGAUUCCCACAGGGGGGC
Non-coding RNA from Salmo salar (Atlantic salmon), 73 nucleotides. Lineage: Eukaryota; Metazoa; Chordata; Actinopteri; Salmoniformes; Salmonidae. The record is from Rfam.